RNAcentral lists this ribosomal RNA (253 nucleotides) under uncultured bacterium. RNAcentral's name for it is "partial 16S ribosomal RNA". It matches the Rfam family "Bacterial small subunit ribosomal RNA", at positions 524 to 776 of the family's 1533-position model. The record is from RNAcentral.
UACGAAGGGGGCUAGCGUUGUUCGGAAUCACUGGGCGUAAAGGGCGCGUAGGCGGCCGCUCAAGUCGGGGGUGAAAGCCUGUGGCUUAACCACAGAAUUGCCUUCGAUACUGUUUGGCUUGAGACCGGAAGAGGUGAGUGGAACUGCGAGUGUAGAGGUGAAAUUCGUAGAUAUUCGCAAGAACACCAGUGGCGAAGGCGGCUUACUGGUCCGGAACUGACGCUGAGGUGCGAAAGCGUGGGGAGCAAACAGG